Molecule: unclassified non-coding RNA, 240 nt
Filed under: soil metagenome
Description: partial contains 5.8S ribosomal RNA, internal transcribed spacer 2, and large subunit ribosomal RNA
Source: RNAcentral
AACGCACGAGACCUGCGGACCUGCGGAGGGAUCAUUACAGGACUCGCAAGACUCCUACAACCCUGUGAACUUAACUAUAAGCACGUUGCUUCGGCGGGUGUCUCGGCGAGGGUUCUCCCUCCCCGGGGCGCUAAGCCCGCCGGCAGCCUACUAUACUCUGUCUCUUUGCGUUGGCAUCUCGAGUACAAACAAACAAGUUAAAACUUUCAACAAUGGAUCUCUAGAUCGGAAGAGCACACG